CCCAUCUCAGUUACGAAGGACUGGCAGCAAGUAGAAGAUGCAGAGAAAAUGAAUAAGAAAAUCUUACUCUCUUUCCCACUGCAAGUUUCCAAGCCCUUGCUCACAGACCUGGGUUAGAGACAUGAAAGAAGCUUUGAAUUAGAUAUCUUACUGAGGUUUUAAAUUAGAUUAUGUGGAAUUUAUUUUUCAUUUGUUUAUUAAAUAAUAUAUGCACAUAGUAAAGUUUUUAAAGAUACAGCUAAGUAUAUGUCAAAUUGUAUGUUGCUUUUACAUUCUGGUCAUAGAGACACUCAAUUGCCCUCCUAUGAGGAAACCAUUUUUAAAAGCAAUGAGACUAGAAUCAGGAGGGCGGAGCGAGAUGGCCAAAUAGGAACAGCUCCAGUCUCCAACUCCCAGCGCGACCAACACAGAGGACCGGUGAUUUCCGCAUUUUCAACUGAGCGAUAA
RNAcentral lists this long non-coding RNA (447 nucleotides) under Papio anubis (olive baboon). RNAcentral's name for it is "lncRNA (ENSPANG00000044481.1)". The record is from RNAcentral. Lineage: Eukaryota; Metazoa; Chordata; Mammalia; Primates; Cercopithecidae.